This 497-nucleotide ribosomal RNA is filed under the name uncultured bacterium. RNAcentral's name for it is "partial 16S ribosomal RNA". It matches the Rfam family "Bacterial small subunit ribosomal RNA", at positions 28 to 507 of the family's 1533-position model. The record is from RNAcentral.
GAUGAACGCUGGCGGCGUGCCUAAUACAUGCAAGUCGAGCGAACAGACGAGGAGCUUGCUCCUCUGACGUUAGCGGCGGACGGGUGAGUAACACGUGGAUAACCUACCUAUAAGACUGGGAUAACUUCGGGAAACCGGAGCUAAUACCGGAUAAUAUAUUGAACCGCAUGGUUCAAUAGUGAAAGACGGUUUUGCUGUCACUUAUAGAUGGAUCCGCGCCGCAUUAGCUAGUUGGUAAGGUAACGGCUUACCAAGGCAACGAUGCGUAGCCGACCUGAGGGGGUGAUCGGCCACACUGGAACUGAGACACGGUCCAGGCUCCUACGGGAGGCAGCAGUAGGGAAUCUUCCGCAAUGGGCGAAAGCCUGACGGAGCAACGCCGCGUGAGUGAUGAAGGUCUUCGGAUCGUAAAACUCUGUUAUUAGGGAAGAACAAAUGUGUAAGUAACUAUGCACGUCUUGACGGUACCUAAUCAGAAAGCCACGGCUAACUACGUG